Molecule: ribosomal RNA, 408 nt
Filed under: uncultured bacterium
Lineage: Bacteria
Description: bacterial SSU rRNA
Rfam family: Bacterial small subunit ribosomal RNA
Source: RNAcentral
UGGCGGGCAGGCUUAACAACAUGCAAGUCGAACGCCCCGCAAGGGGAGUGGCAGACGGGUGAGUAACGCGUGGGAACAUACCCUUUCCUGCGGAAUAGCUCCGGGAAACUGGAAUUAAUACCGCAUACGCCCUACGGGGGAAAGAUUUAUCGGGGAAGGAUUGGCCCGCGUUGGAUUAGCUAGUUGGUGGGGUAAAGGCCUACCAAGGCGACGAUCCAUAGCUGGUCUGAGAGGAUGAUCAGCCACAUUGGGACUGAGACACGGCCCAAACUCCUACGGGAGGCAGCAGUGGGGAAUAUUGGACAAUGGGCGCAAGCCUGAUCCAGCCAUGCCGCGUGAGUGAUGAAGGCCUUAGGGUUGUAAAGCUCUUUCACCGGAGAAGAUAAUGACGGUAUCCGGAGAAGAAGC